UAGGGUUUGAUCCUGGCUCAGAUUGAACGCUGGCGGCAUGCUUUACACAUGCAAGUCGAACGGUAACAGGCCGCAAGGUGCUGACGAGUGGCGAACGGGUGAGUAAUGCAUCGGAACGUGCCCAGUCGUGGGGGAUAACGCAGCGAAAGCUGCGCUAAUACCGCAUACGAUCUAUGGAUGAAAGCGGGGGACCGUAAGGCCUCGCGCGAUUGGAGCGGCCGAUGUCAGAUUAGGUAGUUGGUGGGGUAAAGGCUCACCAAGCCAACGAUCUGUAGCUGGUCUGAGAGGACGACCAGCCACACUGGGACUGAGACACGGCCCAGACUCCUACGGGAGGCAGCAGUGGGGAAUUUUGGACAAUGGGCGCAAGCCUGAUCCAGCAAUGCCGCGUGCAGGAAGAAGGCCUUCGGGUUGUAAACUGCUUUUGUACGGAACGAAAAGGCUCUGGUUAAUACCUGGGGCACAUGGCGGUACCGUAAGAAUAAGCACCGGCUAACUACGUGCCAGCCGCCGCGGUAAUAC
RNAcentral lists this ribosomal RNA (522 nucleotides) under uncultured beta proteobacterium. RNAcentral describes it as "bacterial SSU rRNA". It matches the Rfam family "Bacterial small subunit ribosomal RNA", at positions 1 to 526 of the family's 1533-position model. Lineage: Bacteria; Pseudomonadati; Pseudomonadota; Betaproteobacteria. The record is from RNAcentral.